This 164-nucleotide ribosomal RNA is filed under the name Thrixspermum formosanum. RNAcentral's name for it is "5.8S ribosomal RNA". It matches the Rfam family "5.8S ribosomal RNA". Rfam says of the family: 5.8S ribosomal RNA (5.8S rRNA) is a component of the large subunit of the eukaryotic ribosome. It is transcribed by RNA polymerase I as part of the 45S precursor that also contains 18S and 28S rRNA. Lineage: Eukaryota; Viridiplantae; Streptophyta; Magnoliopsida; Asparagales; Orchidaceae. The record is from RNAcentral.
GACACGACUCUCGACAAUGGAUAUCUCGGCUCUCGCAUCGAUGAAGAGCGCAGCGAAAUGCGAUACGUGGUGCGAAUUGCAGAAUCCCGCGAACCAUCGAGUCUUUGAACGCAAGUUGCGCCCGAGACCAAUCGGUCGAGGGCACGUCCGCCUGGGCGUCAAGC